RNAcentral lists this long non-coding RNA (1988 nucleotides) under Homo sapiens (human). Its description in RNAcentral is "HSALNT0383214". The record is from RNAcentral. Lineage: Eukaryota; Metazoa; Chordata; Mammalia; Primates; Hominidae.
UUCAAGCCAGGGAUGGCUUCAAUCCUGGAGGCCGCGCUGUCAGUUCCGGUCGGAGUCUGUGGCCUGGAGUGAGCACUAAUGGUUCUUUUUCCAGGCCCGCCCAUGGCCACCCAUGGACCAAUCAGCAUGCACUUCCUCCCUUCUGAACCCAUAAAAACCCCGCUCCCCGGACGCAGCCGGAGUCACGCGAAGUCGGAAGUACCAGCUGCGGGAAGGAGCUGCCCACUGUGCGUCUUCUCAACUUGUUGGGACAACCUUCCUGCGGAAAGGAGAGACAACCUUCCUGCAGAAAGGAGCUACCUGCUUCAGGUCUACUGAGAGCUGUUCUGCCACUCAAUAAAGCUCUUCUCCAUCUUGCUAAGCCUCCAUUUGUCCGCAAUACCUCAUCUCCCUGGACGCAGGACAAGAACUCAGGACCCGCCUGGAGGUGCCCACAGCAGAAUCCACAUGCCGUCCAUCUGGUCCAGCCUCACGCAGAGCCACAACUGUGCUGGCGCCUGGAGCUGCCAGCCCCACUGCAGCAGCCGGACUGACAUUCAGACGUGGAGCAAGUUGGACUGCAUAGGGACCCACCAGUGAGAUGGACGCUGUCUGUAAACGGGGAAAUUUAUGGAAAGAUGUCCUCCUGCAACUGCUGAAAAUGCAACAUGCUGCCCAGGUCCUGCUCAGACCACUGACAACUCAGAAGUUAAUACUCAGAGUGGAAAGCGUAGCAAAGUGUAGUACAUGAGCAAGCGUUUCAAGCCAGACGGAGUUAAUCAUCUCUGUCACUGAAUUGGAGCUCACGGUCUGCUGGACAACUGUGCUGAGUGGAAAGGAAGCCUCGAUGGCUAAGUCACUUGUCCAACCUCAGACACUGGCAGAUCCAGGAUUCAAACAGCUAGACUCCAAAUGUGUUUCCUUUAACCUCUUUUCUACCUUUUCAACUUGAUUCCACACAUCACCACUGGGAAAGCUUAGAGUCCAACCUAUGACUACGUAGCCAAUAAAAGGGAAUGAAUCAUUGCAGGACAGUAUUUCCUGGCAUCGAGCUCUGUGCACCAGAGACCACGCUGCAAGCAGAUAGGAGCUGACUGACCUUAAGUGACUCUCAAUCUAAUAAAGUCAAGGCCAGAAAUUUUGGUCUAGCAACACUAAAGCCAGUGAUUUGGAAUUUCAGCUCACAGAUCCUGGAUCUUCUGCUUUGAAGAAAGUUUGGGCUUUGGCAGAAUCGGGUGCUAUUAGCCCAAAGAAUGAAGCUCAUGACUUAAGAGUUUCCAUCACGACUCUUGUCAGGGGAAGCAUUCUUUCCCAGGCACACCUCUCUUUGUCUCUGGGUUUCAGGAGCAAAAGUUCUGCAAGAGUCUCUAAGCCUUCUGGAGGUGAGACCCGGGAACACCAGGCAGAAAAAGCAGGAAGAUCAUUCUUCAGGGAGCUUGUGUGCCUGCCUGAAAAGCUGGCUAGGCAUUCAUCAAUUGACAGGUUUCUGCAGUUGGAGCGUAAUCUCCCUGGAAUGCUCUGAAUCUUAUCCUUCACGUGACCUUGUAAGAAACCAGAGUAUGCACAGAUUCAAUAUGGGAAGUGCUCAGCAACCUGUUUCAAAGCUCUCGGUAAAAGUUUGCAGGGAUCAAAAGGAGUGGGUGACUUCAAUUAAAUCACCCUUGGAACCUGGUGUUAUGUUCCUUAAGGAUCAAGACAUCUCAGCUGUUUUAUUUUAAAAAAAUGUAUUUGGCAUCUAACUAACAAGAGAUAAAACCUGAGCAAGGAGACUCGCUCUCUGUCCCAACCUUGAGGCGUGGAGCCCAGUCUUUCAGAUUAUGUUCAUCUAGGGCCAUGCUGCAUGGAUUUUUACCCCAGUUGUGAGAUCUUGGUGCAGUUACUAUCUCAAUUCUUCAGUUUCCACGUUGUAAAAUGGGGUUGAUAGCAGCAUUCACCUGGGAGCACUGUCAGGAGAAAAGAAGAGGAUUCACAUAGUGAGCCUGCGCUGAGUCCACAGUAAGUCCAUAUUA